UGCAGCCGCGGUAAUUCCAGCUCCAAUAGCGUAUAUUAAAGUUGUUGCAGUUAAAAAGCUCGUAGUUGAAUUUCGGGGUUAGUAGGCUGGUCGUGCCACUGGUACGUACUGGUCUCACUGAUUCCUCCUUCCUGAUGAACUGUAAUGCCAUUAAUUUGGUGUUGCAGGGAAACUGGACUGUUACUUUGAAAAAAUUAGAGUGUUUAAAGCAAGCUAACGCUUGAAUACAUUAGCAUGGAAUAAUGAAAUAGGACGUUCGAUCCUAUUUUGUUGGUUUCUAGGAUUGACGUAAUGAUUAAUAGGGAUAGUUGGGGGGCAUUAGUAUUCAAUUGUCAGAGGUGAAAUUCUUGGAUUUAUUGAAGACUAACUACUGCGAAAGCAUUUGCCAAGGAUGUUUUCAUUAAUCAAGAACGAAAGUUAGGGGAUCGAAGACGAUCAGAUACCGUCGUAGUCUUAACCAUAAACUAUGCCGACUAGGAAUCAGACGAUGUUAAUUUUUUAAUGACUCGUCUGGCACCUU
RNAcentral lists this ribosomal RNA (520 nucleotides) under uncultured Glomus. RNAcentral's name for it is "SSU rRNA". It matches the Rfam family "Eukaryotic small subunit ribosomal RNA", at positions 569 to 1089 of the family's 1831-position model. The record is from RNAcentral. Lineage: Eukaryota; Fungi; Glomeromycota; Glomeromycetes; Glomerales; Glomeraceae.